AGUGUGCUUAUGAUAAAGGAGAGGGUGAGAUUUUGAUUCCUCUGCAUCUGUGAAUACUGUUUUGCUCCUCCUACAAUGUCAUGACAAAGAACAGAAACUCUCCAGGUGGUGCUAAAAUGUCCUUAACCUUCCCAGCCAGAGGAAGUAUGAGCCAGAUAAAUUAUUAUUUUUUUGGUAUGAUAGGUUUCUUUCACUUUUAUAUUUGUACCAUAAUCUCAACCAGAAACACAGGCUACUUUGGAACUGGCUGUGGAAUGAAUGUUGGCUUAGAACUUACAACAAUCCUCCUGCCUCAGCCUUCUGAAUGUGAGAGUUUGAAAGAACCUUGUGGACCAGAACUGUGUGCUGCUUGCAUCACUGCUGGGAUGUGCAUUUCCAUACAGAGAGACAAAGGAGUUGGUUUUUACUCCCAAGCCUUUUGCUACUUAAAUAAAGUUAUUGGCUGCCUAAUGAA
This 454-nucleotide long non-coding RNA is filed under the name Mus pahari (shrew mouse). Its description in RNAcentral is "lncRNA (MGP_PahariEiJ_G0005271.1)". Lineage: Eukaryota; Metazoa; Chordata; Mammalia; Rodentia; Muridae. The record is from RNAcentral.